This 102-nucleotide non-coding RNA is filed under the name Virgibacillus chiguensis. Its description in RNAcentral is "Guanine sequence". It matches the Rfam family "Purine riboswitch aptamer". From Rfam's summary of the family: Riboswitches are metabolite binding domains within certain messenger RNAs that serve as precision sensors for their corresponding targets. Allosteric rearrangement of mRNA structure is mediated by ligand binding, and this results in modulation of gene expression. Lineage: Bacteria; Bacillati; Bacillota; Bacilli; Caryophanales; Bacillaceae. The record is from RNAcentral.
UUCAAAUUAAAUCGUAACUUUCAUAUAAUCGCGGGGAUAUGGCCUGCAAGUUUCUACCGGUUUACCGUAAAUAAACUGACUAUGAAAAAGGUAUGGCUUAUG